UUGUAAUACUUUUAUUUAUAUCUGACCCAUAAGUGUGGCUUGUGUUUAGGUUAUUAUGCUGCUUAUAAAUGUAGUGAAGUAAAGGGUAACAAUGGUUAAAAAAAACGGGCAAUCAUAGUGGAGUGGAAGUGUGAAGAAACGCGUUAGAGCUUAAUUUAAACGCAGCAAAAUACAAACUCUCCACAAGAGGGCGCCAUUUCACACCUCACGGCCCAUCCCGCCUUAUAUUUCUUCCUAACGUGCUAUGAGCUUAGUAAAGCUAACCUUGAUGUUUCACAAUAUAGCUUCCUGAAUACGCCGAAAAUGAGCCAGGUCACAAUUUAGGUUCCUUCGUGAGUUAUUGUACAUUUUUAGAUUAAGUUUAAAUGUAACUUGCUCGCAGGUGUAUGGUAGUGUUUUUGUUCACGUUGAACUGUUUUUUAAUGCAAAUUUUACUGCAAAACUUAAAAAAUACGUGUCGCACCUGUUCCCGUGUACAAAAUGCUUCAAACAGGGAUUGGACUGCGCAUUUGCUUUUGUUUUGAAACGGCGGAAGUACUUCCUCUAACUCUAACCCACAGUUUGACAGGGUCACGCUGCAAAUCCAGUCGGAUGUUUUGAGUCGCCAAUGUGUGAUGGGAACAUUUCCUCGUUUUGUUUGUUUGUUUGUUUGUUUUAAAUAAAAACUUCUCCAGCGGCGGCCAUUGAUCAGUGUUUUUAACCUCAGACUUAUGAGAAAGAGGUCGCCGUCCGGGCUCGUGUCGAUGCAGUGAGACCUUCACCUGCCACCUGGAAAUAAAGCUAAACGCAGGACAAGCAAGCAGGCUGACAAACCGAAGUUGCCCGUCACAGCCACAAGAGGGCGCUUCAGAUGGAGGCGACCUACAGGUCUGAGCUCCACCUGAUGGGGAGCAGAGCGACGACCCGCCUGAAGCGACUCGGAGUCACAGCUUGCGAAUCACCGGCAGAGGACUGCGAGUAGACACCGGAAAUGCACAGGAAAACGUUUCGGUUUCCACAUUUGUGGCAAAUGAUCAAUAUUGUCACUGAUGUUCUUUCUGAUAUGAACGGUCAUCAAAAUUCUUUCCAAUUAAUUUUGUAGUAAUUGUUGCACUGUAUGUCUUAUUUUCAUUGUUGCGGUGACCAAAAGUACUUCUCACUCAGCACAGAUUCUACUUUACUUUGACUUAACACAGUAAAAUGUAGAAAAACCUCUGAGGAGCUUUUUCACUGUGGACAUGCUGCCCUCUUGUGGCGCUGAAGGAAAUUGCACGUAGUUAAUGGCCUCACAUCUCACCUACAGUAAGAACAGCUAUGUUUAUCCAUUAAUUAUUAGAGCAUGGACCAAACUGACAUUUGGUAUUAGCCUCAGGUUUGUUAAGAGAGCUCAAAAACAUCCCCUUAAGCUUUGUGAAAAUUCACUGAAGUUGA
This is a long non-coding RNA of Scatophagus argus, 1410 nucleotides long. RefSeq lists it as uncharacterized. NCBI's taxonomy places the organism in Eukaryota, Metazoa, Chordata, Actinopteri, Scatophagidae. The transcript has 3 exons. The record is from RefSeq and is a predicted model, not a curated record.